Rattus norvegicus (Norway rat) is the source of this 26196-nucleotide non-coding RNA. NCBI's taxonomy places the organism in Eukaryota, Metazoa, Chordata, Mammalia, Rodentia, Muridae. The record is from RefSeq and is a predicted model, not a curated record.
UAACUUUUCUGUUUUGUUUUUAAAUCAGACUCUUGAAUUUUGGAGGAGAGACUUUUUUUUAAAGUAUUACUUAAAGGGUCUAUGUGACUGUUUUUAAUACACUUUAUAUUGAAUUGAACAUGUUAACCUUCAUUUUAUAGCAACAUUUUGUCAACUUACCUAGUGCCAUGGUGGACUGUAUAAGCAUGUAGAAACAAGUCCUAUAGACAUCGUUUACAUCUGCAUUGAAUCAUUAACUUUCUCUCCCUUCUUUCUACUCUUGAGGACAGAAUUGCCAAUACUAACUGAUAUCACACCUAGCCUGUUUAGGUCUUACCUCCUUCUUCAAUGCAUGGGCCUUCAUUAAUGGAGGCACCAGUGGGCAAUGAACUGGACGGCUGGGCCUCCUCCAUGUAUGGAGUGCAAGUGGCCCAGGAAGUGGAAGGAUUGUGGCAACUCUGAAAUCCUGAAUCUGUGGUGCUAAAAUUAGCCAGGGUCAAUCCCUGUGCAAUAAGGGGUUCAGUAGCCGAUGGCUGGAUCGUGUAGCUCUUAUUUCAGGGAAGCAUUCCUGUACUCGAUUCUUUUGUUUCCGUAACAUGAUUUGUACGUGGAUAAAAGUUUCUCUAGGCUGGAAGGGGAAAUUUCACAGAUAACCCAGGCAUAAACCAGCCAGGCAGCAGAGUUGACUAUGCCAUACUUAAUUGACACUGGAGGGGGACCUCAAGUUACGUGCCUUUUCACUAAAGUUUUGUAUUAGCUGUUUGCUUGGAAGGGCAGAUGUUUUGGCUCUGAUGGUCACUGCUCACCUCUGUCUGGGAGGUGCAUCAAUCACUUUAAUUAUAAUGGAACAUGGGGCCAGGAACUGAAGGAGAAAAAUCAACUCAAUCCCAAGAACGAUCUUUCUUGAUGAAUUCUCCCCUAAAUCGAAACAAUUCACCGGGUAUCCCAGCUGGGGUUCAUAUGCUUUUGAUUACUGUGGGCUAUUUAGCUCUACAAAAUGACAGGCUGCUUAAUGGGCUUUUAAUGGUUAUAGGUUUCUCUCUCUCUUUUUUAAUGAGCUUCACCAGUUUGUUGCUAAUGCCCUGUAGAAAUUUGGCGAGGGUCCAGACUCAAUGCUACACAUUUCUGGUUUCGAGGCAGCAGACGUACAACCUUUCUUGCCAGUGGGGAAGUAUGCUACCAGCCUUAAGGUAGGGCCAUCAGGGCAGGGAGAAUAGGAAUGGUAAUAAAUGCCUUGUAUGCCUAAUGUCAUCGUAGAGAAGGUGGUUCCACACUGCAGCGAGUUUCCCUUGAAGGCUUCUUGCAGAUGGCUGGACUGGCAAUGUCGGCAACGCUUUGCCUUCUAAUGUAAUUUCUACACUGUUGGUAAAAGUGACCCUGGUAGGCUCAGUUGUAUCCUGCUCACCAAUGGGUUUCUUGGUCAACAGGGUUUAUUGUCUCCCGUUUCACCAGUUUAUUUCAUCAUGUUUGUAUCCUCAGUGCCUCGUGCGAGGCUGAGGCCACAGUAGGUAUUCGGUUCAGGUCUGCAAAAUUAGAAGUCACAGGGAAAUGGGAGGAGUUGGCAAGGUUUUACCCAAAGGGACUUACUUUCUGGGUCUCAAAAAGAUCUGGGUUAGAGAGGACUGGACAGUGUAUGAGACUAGGAAGAGAAGGGGCAUCUGGGUCGCUACUAAUAGCAAUCACAUUUAUUCCUCUUCUGCCCCUAGUGCUGUGCUUAAAACACUUUGGGUACUGUUUUCACUUAGUCACCAAAGCUAGGAGGCAGGUGACGGUUUACCGGUGAUGAUCAGUACUGUUUGGGUAAGCAGUUGAGGAAGUGCCUAGGCGUGAGGCAUUUGUUGACUUCUGUGGUAAGAACACCAAGCCCAGGCUAUUUCAUACUAGCAAUAUGAUAUAAACCAAAGAGCGAAACAAUAGAAAAGUUAACUGACAUUUGUGUAGCUCUGUGGAUAUAUCGGCACGGGUGUCAUUAACUGAAGUUCCUGAGAGAAGCUGCGAGCCUACAGAAUUGUCUACAAACCUGACAAAUGACAGCUUUGAUGACUGUGGAGAUGUUGGGAUGCUGCACAGUCACAAUAUCUUAGAUUAUCUUAGGUCCUUAAAUAGCCAUUCAUUGCCCACUUUGGUGUGUGACCAUUGCGGCUAUCAGGUGAAUCCUUUCGGAAUGUAUGAAAAGUCCCCUAGCCGCCACCAACCAAAAGCUAAGAAUGUCAUAAAACAGCAUCUGGGGCUACAGCAGAGGUUUCCUCAGUACGCUCUAAGCCAAUGGCCAUGCUUGUUCACAUGUGACUGCAGGACAAACUAUCUCCUAUGCCCUUUGAAGAGAGAGCGUUUCCUACGCGGAUAGGAGGCAUAAAUUCCCAACUUACAGUUGCACCAGAAAAACUGUCAUAAAGAUAUAACAGUUACUUAGGUUCGUAGAAGGAGCUGAAAACAGACUCCAGGGUCAGAGUGAUUAAGCACUGGGUUCUGCACCACACCACUUCCCUAAACCAGGUGUACACUACGGAAGUGACGACAGAGCAAGGAAAGAGGAAAGGUGGCUCUCCUCACACACUGGCAACCCUGUCUGACUUCCCUCUGAGGUGACAGGUACACCUUUUGCUUUGUUUUUCCUUUUCCCAGUAAUCUCUAUUUAGUUUCUUUUUACAUUGCUUGGAAGUUUCCUACCCUUAUAUAAUGAUUCUAGUGUUGUCCUCCCUUUUUUUUUUUCCAUGCCCCCUUCUCUCAUUGACACACCUCUUCCCAACAGAUCCCAGUCCUACUUUCUUGUCUUUAUAUUUGGUCUACUGAGUUUGUAGUUUCUUGCCCAAGCAUGGGUGGGAGGUUAUUUACUGGAGAAAGGUCAACUAAUCAGUGGCUACCCCAUUGGAAAAAAAAUGAUACUCUCCCUGCCCACUGUGAAUGGUUCCUAGAUGCCAAGAGCUGGCUUUGAAGAGGCAACAAACAGCUUUCUCAACAUGAUGAUCUGAAGACAAAUAUGAGUGACCAUGGCCCCAGCACAGGAUUUGGGUUCCCUAAAUUCCAUGCUCCAAUGUGGUAGCAGUUUCAUGAAGGUUGUAUACUAACAGAACAAAAUAGUCACAAUUAUACAUCUAUAUCUAUCUAUCUAUCUAUCUAUCUAUCUAUCUAUCUAUCUAUCUAUCUAUCUAUUCCAUAAUCAUUAAGACUCAUCAAUUAAUUGGCAUCUAUCUAUAGAAUGUUCAAUGUAAGUUACUGCUUCUCUGGGAACUUUAGUUCAGUUUCUAGAAUACCUCUUCUUCACUCACCUCUCACUCUGGAAGUUUGAUUUAAUUCUUAGAAAUAAGCUGUGGCCUCUGGUCCUGUUAUGAGAUAGUUAUUGCAAUUCCAUCUCCUUCUUUUACAGGCAAACAACCUAGGGACAAGAGAGACUAAACAAUUUCCCCAAAUCUUGUCAGUGUCAGAGCCGAGAACACUGUGGGGUCUUCAGAUGCACUGGCUAAAGCUCCUCCCUCUAAACUGUAGCCUCCUCCACUUCUUAAGAGUAAUAAAUGGUACUCAGUGUUUUCUUUUGUUGAAGUAGGCGGAGGUUGGCUUUUCCUGUCCUGAUGCUGAUGUCCUUACUGACGGCCUCCUCCCAGCUUUAAAGACAGAGCUUGACUUCCCUGGAUUCAGGGGUAAUGAGCCGAGAAGUCAAGGACAGGCUCUGGGCUUUGGGAAGCGAACGGUGCACACAUGAAAGACAUUCUUCAGAAGUUUUAGUGGGUGAGGAGGAGGUAGGUCAGAGAAGGUGGGAUCUCCUUGAAGAAAUACUCUCAUGUUCCCAAGUCCGAAGAUCCUACUAAAUCAGACCCAGGUCACAUGGUGUCUAUACUUGUCUCCUGGCCCAGGGUGAAAACAGUUCACGUUGUAAAAUUAACUUUCCACAUUUGGCCAGCCCACACGUGCCAACUUUCUUUCAAAGUGAGUUUGUGAGUGAAUGAAUGAAUGAGCGUGUUGACUGGGUUACUGUUCUUAGGGGAGCCUUCUUUGCCUUGGACUUGGAGAACGAUUAAAGUUGGUUUUGAAAAGCGCUGCUGCUCUCCCAAACACAGCAGGCUGAUAGGAUUCUGGUUGCACUUUUAUUUGCUAUGGAGCACAAUGUUGUCAUUUCAUGGAAGAAAUAGCCUAGCAGAUGGUGUUUGGUGGAUGGCUUGGAUGUAGCUUUGUAAAUAAGCUACUCAAAAUAGACUAGCUUCCCCAAAACUUACCAUCUGCCCCUUACCCCAUGAGGUCUACAGGUGAUAAAAGAAAGAAAAGAAUUUCAUACUUUCAGUUGUUCCUGUGUUCCCAAUUUCUGAAAAGCUCCCCACUUAAGGCUUCCUUAAAUUUGGCUCUGAUAAUAGGAGAGAGAGAUUGUCUCUAAUAUAAUAGGUAUGUCAGGGUAGUCUGAUUUAACAAUAAUCACCUAAACUGGGCAUUGUGGUUAGGACUAUAGUCCCAACUGUUUGGGAGGCAGAGGCGUGACUAUCAUUUGAGUCCAGGAGUUUGAGACCAACUUGUGCAACUAAAUAUGAAACUUUCUCAAAACAAAACACACAUAGAUAUAGACAGACAUGCAUGUCUAACUGACACCCCCUCCCCAUUAUUUCAAGUUAGUCUUUGAUAUGAUUCGGCUUCUGCAGCCUCCAUGCACGGCAAUUUCUUGUAACUUCUCCUGGCUGAAGGGAAGAUCUCCCUAUAAGUGUUUCCCAUUUCUGAGGACCAGGUUAAUUUAUUAUGCAGUGGCUCUAGAAGCUCAUACAUACAUCGGGGCUUGAACCAUUUUUUCAGUUCCAAAAUGAGAGGGUUAUUUUGCUUCUCUCAAUCUUAGUUGUUUCUUUAUUAGAGGAAUGAGGCUGGCAUAACAUUCAAAACGUUCUUUGUUACCACUCCUGUCAUUGUCAUCAGUACCAUGCUCGACUGUAGCAUACUGCCAACGGGAGACGUGACGGGACAGAGCACAUAGUCAAUGGGAGCCGUGAUGGGUGGAGAUGAUUUACUUCAGCUGCGAUGUGAAAGGUGUUCAGACUCAUCAAGUUGAUCACUCCCACACCUUGUGUUUUCUUUUUCUUGAAGUGUUUUCCUAAACGGGAUUUCCGUGGGCUACCCACCAAAACAUGAGCUGGAGGGUGGCGGACAGUGCGAGGUUCUUCUUGGACCUUGAUUAUUGAGGCAUGGGAGAUGGAUGCUAAAGUUUUUCUCAGAUUUUAAAUGGUGGACGAUUCUAUGGGAAUGGUUUAGGAACUGGAAUUAGGAAUCUGAUGUCAGGAUCUUCUAAAGGUCUAUUUCCAACAUGGGUCUUGGACCUUUUUGAAUUUAAGUUAGAGAAUGGGUUUACAUAGACCUGGAGAAAGGAUUUCAAAGGGCCAUGUAGAACACUCUACCUCUUAAAAUGUCUGUUUCCAUUAAUUAGGAGGCUGGGUGUGAAACCUUCAGCCUAUGUCUUUGUACAGUCACUCGCUGGGGUGCGACUGUCUCUAUUUUCUGUGACCGUGAUUCAUGAAGAGAAGAUUGCUUUCGAAGGGAAUAUAACUUAUCUUUGCUUCAGAUGCAACUUAAAUAUCAGGUAUUUAUAAAUCUAAUAUUUAUCUUAUGCUCCUCUACUCUUUUGCAAGGUAAGCUGGUUUUAUUCCAGAAACAAUGUCUCCUGUUCCUUUUGUAACUAUAAGUUAGCCAAUUAUAUUAAGAAUUGUUACGUGAGACUUCUAGAAGUGGUCCCAGAGAAGGAACCUUGUUCUAUCCUUAUAAAGAAUCUUUCUGCUUCUAUUCUAUUCUUCCUGACUUCCCCUCCCCUAGACAUGGUGAAUGUAGAACCCUCUGCCUUUGCUUGAUCACACCUCAGACCACAGUGUAACCCUGAAGAUAGAGAGCAUGUGCUGACGAUAAUGUACCAUAAAGACGGAGGAAGCAUGGCUCUAUGGUAUUGCCGCAGAAUCCUGGGCUCCUUCACUCUGGACUUCAUCACAGAUGCAUGGAGCCACUGUUUUCUCCAGUUUCUACUCACAGCACACAAAGGCAGACUCUUAACUGCUACAGACGCCUUCCACCCAGUGAGUACCGCCCUUGUGUCUUUGCAGCUAGAGUCUGGAAACCCUGUCUGUUGGUCCGCGCUGCUUCACAAGCCCCUACAAGAGUGAAAUUGGACUUAGCCUCUGCUAAAGAGCAGCGGAAUUGCUGGUGAAUACAAUGCUGGGAUUAUAAGGUGCUGGCAGCCAUACCAGAAUAAUAAGGUCAGAUGGAAAGCCAUCCAGUGAGUCCUUCAGUGAAUAUCCCGCCCGCGAUAGUGGCCUCCGAGCACUGCAGCCCAGAUCCACAGUUCAGGAACUGCAGGACUCCCCCCCCCUUACUUUUUUUUUUUUGGCAAAAUGAUGAGGGGCUUCAUUAUUGGUUCAGUUUUUGCUCUGUGUAGCUAUUCAGUAGGAGUCCAUGUUCAUUCCGGUUUGUAACGAAAGCGCUCAUUCAUUGGAGUUUACCCCAGCAGUUUCAUCCGUAAUAUCCAAGAUGGUGGCCACAAUCUGCUUUGCUAAUCUCAAGUACCUUUGAUGAAAGGUUCACGAGACGCACACCACAUUCUUGGCUCACUCUGCCUGUAUUCUAGGAGCGUUAACCCAUCUGUGUGGUGCAUGGAAUUGUCUGAAUGUUUGAUAAAAAUGUGAGACUAAAACUACAGGAGAUGGUUUCAGAAAUAAUCUCAUUAACCUGCUGUGUCUUCAGUAUCUUUCCGAGAUAAUUUUGUACAUGUUGGGGAGUGAAAUAAGUAACCUAAACCUGAGGCAGUGGGCCAAGGGAAGCUGGGUAGUGGCUGUUAAUCUGCUUAUGGGUAGGUCUGUGGGUGCAGCCUUGGAAAGGUUCAUCUGAACAUGUUUACCAAGGUAGUUCCCGGCACCGUUUAAGUCGACUUCCUAAAGUAGGGUGGUGAUUCUAGCCCUAAUCCCAUUAUUUCAUGCCCUUUGCCAAUGGUCGGCAUUGCCUGACUUUCAGGAAAGAAUGCACUAGUUGGUAAGAUUCUAGAAGCACAAGGCAGAUUAGUCAAUUGCUUAUAUAGCGUUCGUUGUCUGCCUGACUAACUUCUCCCCUCGUGCCAGAAGUAAGGACAGCUCCCACGGACACUUAAGGUGCGAUGCAUAAAUUUGAAAUUUGGGAAAUUAGCAAAUGAAGCCACAGGUGUUUUAGUUUUGUUUUGUAUAUUUUUUUUGUUAUAAAAGUUUUGUGUAUUUUAAAGAAUAGCCGAAGUACCAUCUAUAUAGAAGACAUUCUAUAGAUGUUUCUUUCUUUACCUGGUGAAUGAAAAGGCGCCUAACUAAUGCCAAGGGGGGAGGGGGUGGAGGAGGAAGGGGGAAGGAAAGCAGGAGCAGAGGGAAGAGAAGUAGCAGGAGACUAACAAUUGUGACAGUUCUCAGAAGGAGUAAUUAAGGUGACGAUGUUGCCCAUUGGUGUGAGUACUGAAAAGCUAGGUGGGCUACCCUAAAGGCACAUAUUUCCCCAUAUAACCUUGCUUAUCUCACAAAUCUUAAUGAUCCCUCACAAAGGAGACUCACUAGGUAGGCGGGCAAGGCUGCCAGUCACAAAAGCGAAUGGGCAAAUAUCUACUGCCUAGUGACCUGAAAGCAAUUCUUCAAGUCUAUUCUAGUAGAAGGAAUUUCUUUCUCUUGGAGCGACUUGUAGUUGAAAAGCGAAGGGCGUGGCCAAGAGAAUGGAGACUGGAGAGAGAAAAACGUCCUUUCUUAGACCCUUCCCAGCACACAUGGUCUUGAAGUUUGCUCAUGUUUAAGACAUCAAAUAGAGAUGCUUGCAUUAAAACGUCUUUAAAAGUCCUUUUGACUUUCGGAAAUUGAGGUGUGUGGGUAGAAUGGGGAAGCCAAAGGUGAGAGGGCGUGAGUAGUCUGUGGCUGAGGCUCAGUGGUCAAACACUUUACCUGGCAUGACUAAGACUAGGGGUUAUGAACCCCAGCACCAGAAAAAAAAAAGGAAUCAACUAAAGUAGCACGUAUCAAAGAUCCUGCAGGCUCAGGCCCUGUCUGAUACUAUACUCUAGCUGUCUAGACCAACACUAAAGGGAAUACAUGAUGAAUAAGUGAUUUUAGCUUUUGAUAGUCAUAUUGGAAACUUGGGGGAAAAACUACAGAUGAAAUUUUUAAUAUUUUCAAAUUUAAUCCAAUGAUUGCAAAUAUCAUCUAAGCAUGUGAUAGAUAUAAAAAGAGUUAAUUUGCACUCUUUCAUAGCAUACUCCCUCUCUUUAAACUCUCUGCUUUUGUAUCCAUUGAUCUAGCAUCAUUUACAGCACAGCCACAAGUAGCUUGUGGCUACUACAUUACCGGGGAGGUGGAGAUGACCUGUUAUACCUCACUGCACACCUUCCUAACGAACGGAUGCCUCAAGAACUGAUUUUUCACAACGAUGAUCAUUGUCUGAGACUUGAGCUUGUAGCGCUGGUAGACUUUUUAAACAGGAAGGGAAGCGUCUACCGGUUUCCAGGCAGGUAGAUGCACGGCAUCUAGUUUUGAACCUGUAGGGGGAGCUCUCUCCCCUCUGCGCUUUAAUUUCAGUUCCAACCUUGGUUCUCAGAGCCCUGCGGUUCUGAGUUCUUUCACCUGGGUCUGUGGAGAGUUUGUGUUUGGCUCCAAACCAGCAGUAUUUUCACCAUCUCCACACUUUAACGGCGGCUAAAAUGCUAGGACACCAGCCGGGUGGCGGCUUGAGUCUUGUGAUUCCCAGGCAGUCCAGGGAAAUGAUAAACAAAGUCUUUUGUGCAAUAUUAAUAAGCUUUAAGCACUCCCCAGUGAGCCUCUUGUCAUCCAAGUAAGUCAUGUGUAUCAAAAGCCCUUAUACGUGGAAGUUUGUUUUCAUAUCUGGCCCACGAUGAAUGGGAGCCCCCUUUGCCAUGUUGUAAAACAAACAUUUGUUUAUUUUCUGAGCAGAGCUGGCAGUGUGCUACAGGAACCGGAGCUGAAUGGAGAGCCCUUUCCAAGGAGGCGCCUUUGAAAACAGUCUGCCACAGCUUUCCAACUGUCAACUGAUCUUGAACUGGGUUUACAUUAAGACAAUAACAGUGUUUCCUAGAUAAAUAAGUUAGAGACACCCGUGGGCCUUAAUGAAACCCAUAAAAGGCUUGUGGGGGUGGGCGAAAAGGGGUUUUUGUGCUGCACAGGGAAAUAAUGUCUAUUUCAUCUUACCAUGUAUGGGAAGCUUGUGUUUUUGAGACAGAAGGGGUCCUUUAUGGUAAUUACACUGGUUAAAAACACACACACACACACACACACACACACACACACACACACACACACACAAACCAACAAGGAAAACAAAAAACUGCCCCUGAUAGAGCUUUCUUUAGACUUCUGGGACAAAAAAAAAAAAAAAAAAAAAAGUGACACUUCCCUUGGGUGAAUGCCACAGUGCCAAGCAGGCGUUUUCCAAAGUAGAGAAGUGUGGUCACCCUCCCAGUUGAUAAUGUAACCCCCUCUGGCAUGUAAAAGAAAAUUAAUGAAAACUGUAAGGUGAACCAUCUGCUACAGGGAUCUGGCUUUUUUCUCGGUUGGCUUCGGGCUUCCGGGAAUCCAUUUCACUCCAACAAGUUUUCAAGCACAAUGGCCUUGAAGGCGGAGGGUGGAAACUAGGAUGCUUCACUGAUCCGGGAGCUUGGGUUUCCGUGGGUUUUCCUGGAAGGUGGGAAUUUCGACCUGUUACUGGAAGCUGCAUUUCUGAGUAAAGGACACAUUCUAGGGAAAGACUACAGGCUGAAGAGCUGAAACACCGAUUGCACGUAAAUGAAAACAAACGUGUAAACACUGCUGCACAUCACAGAAAGCCUGCAAAACAGAGAUGCCCUCAUACAAGCAUCUUCAGUUGUACAGAGUCAUUAUUCGUGACUUUCCACAGAAACACAGGCUCGACUGUAAUAUAUGUAUAAAUGACUUUGGUUAUAGCAUAUGCAUAACUUUAUAACUUACUUUUGGGAGGCUUGUAUUUUUCCAUGUGUAUUUUCUUCAAAUUACCACAUAGUAUUUAUAACCAUCAUUUUCUAUUAUAGCUAUAUAUAACUAUAUAAUAUAUUACUAUUAUUGCUGUAAUGCUAUAAUAAUAUAACUAACAUUCUAACAUCAUUUCCAUGGCUAUACAAAUUUUCCAAGUAGAUGUACCGUAAUUUGUACCUCAGUCUUUUUCUUUUUUUUUUCUUUUUUUUUUUUUGGUUCUUUUUUUCGGAGCUGGGGACCGAACCCAGGGCCUUGUGCUUCUUAGGCAAGCGCUCUACCACUGAGCUAAAUCCCCAACCCCCCUCAGUCUUUUUCUUUCUGGCAACAUGGGAUGCUUAUGAUUUUUUUUUUCACAGCACAAUUUCUUUCUUGGAAAAAAUAUUAAUUGGGAUAACCACAACGUUAUGAAUACUUAGGAUUUUUUUUUUUUAACACACAGUAUCAUAUGGUUUCCAAGAAGGACUUGAAAAUAAACUGCUUUUCUGAGUGUAACCUCUCCCUACAGUGUAGUCUUAACUUUCACUUCCUCUUUGUCUCUUCUGUUUGUCUAGAACAAUCCCACUAUUCAUAGGACCCUCCUAAAACACCUUCAUAUAAACAUUUCUUCUAUGCAUAAAAGUGGUUCUGGGAUGUUGUCUCUCAGAGACCUUAGAGGAGCAUACCAAACGAUUUUUAUUAUUACAGAUGAGACUGUUUCAAUCUGUAGCCUGCUGCUAAUUGCUACGGUUACAUCUCAUAUAAGAUGUACUCACUUUUGGACUAAUAUUCAGUUUAUAUUCAUUUCCACACCUUCCAAUCAUUUGUGUCAAGGCAGUAGACACCAUUUCAGAAAUCUGGCUAGUCCAACAGAUGGCCCCAGCUUAUGAAUUAACCCCUGUGCUUAGUCACGUGACUCACCCCCACCCCAUCUAGAGGGACCAAGAUUGAGUUGUAUGUUGGAGGAGUGAGAAGACGCAAGAAGAAAGAGAAGGCAAUGCCUCCAACACAGAAAAGCAAAAUGGAGAUGGGAGAAAAAUUGUCUCCCACACUCAUAAGGAUUUUCUUCGCUUCCAGUGGUUCAGCCAUUUCUUAUCUGUCUAGUUACUUGUUCUUCAGUGUCUCCCUCUUUAUAGCUUUACAUAUUCUGGUAUAUGCUGGGAUACCGAUGCUUCAGAAACUCUGUGUCCAAUGGAUUGACAUCCUUCCCCCACUCCCUCUCUUUCUGUGUUGGUUUCUUUCUCUCCCUGUCUCUGUCUCUGUCUCUGUCUCUUUGUCUCUCUCUCUGUGUGUGUGUGUGUGUGUGUGUGUGUGCUUGUGUGUGUGUAUGUGUGUGUGUAUGUGUGCAUGUAUGUGUGUGUAAGAGAGAGAGAAGAGGGGUGGGGGUGGGAAUGAGUAUCUCUUCAUGACCGCGAUUACACAAUAAGGAGCAUUGGACACAGCUAUCAAAUCAUUUUAAAUGGGCCUGUUUGCUGUCUAGCUGGAGUUUAUCUGUGGAUUGACAUAUUUUCUAGCAUAUGUGACCUCAGGCAGUCACUCUUCUUUUUUUUUUUCUUCCUUGCCAGUGUUUGUCCAUUCAUUUAAUUAAACUGUGUCAACUGCCCAGAAAAUGUCUGUACCCAAGCUGGACAUGCUGAUCACAGUUCAGAGCAGACACACUGCUGCUCAAUGGAUCCUUGAUCUGAUGUCAUAGGCAGCAUGCCCAGUCGAUGUGGGCCAGCGAACCAAGUGGCCAGCAGGCUAAAUAUACAAAGCUUGACUUUAGGCAAUGUGUGGUAUCAUCAGUGGGAUGAAGGCCGGCCCUGUGAGGCAUUUCCUAUGCAAUGUGGCCUCUACGGAAAGGACCAAGUAUGUCCAAGUGCUGUCCUCAAGAAGAACAUGAUUGGUUGGCUUGUGCUCUCUGGAUGGCCAAAGGGUCCAAUGCAUGGUUAGACGCUGGACAGGUGACUUAUCCUGGUAAUGCCUCUCAGCUGAUGUUACAUCAAACAUAGUCUGGUAUGACACCGUGGACCUUCCAAGUGAUUUACCUGCUUAUUUAGUAAAUUAUCUGCUCUCAGGUAUGUUAAUUGGGGAUUGCCACAAUUGCUGUCAAUACAGCAAAUUGUAUCUGUCUGUCUGUCUGUAUCUAUCUAUCUAUCUGUCUGUAUGUCUGUCUCUGUCUAACAUACUAUCUAUCUGACAUAUAUAUUUAGUAUAUAUUUAUUAAUUAUCUUUGUAUAUCAUAUUGUUUAGUUUCUGAAAUGAGCUCCCAUUAGAACCUGAAUCUAGUAUCUGGGCUUAAGAUAAUAAUAUAUAUUACUUAUAUUGUAUUAUAUAUAAUACAUUAUAGGUAAUAUAUAGUAAAUAGAUAUAGAUAGAUAUAUGUAUUGUGUAUAUGUGCAACGAUAAUGAAGAAGACUACGUGAAUUUGAAUGGCAGUGGAAGACACAGGGGAGUUAGAGGGAGAGGGGCAAAUAAAUAAUGUAAAAGUAUAUCAGUAGGAAAUCCUAAAAUACAAUUUAAAAGAAGAAUAAAGCAAAACAAAACAAGUCUACAAUGAGCCCAGUGAUGAUGUUCAGUCUGGAGAGAUCUAGUUUCAAAUGGUUUGUGGGUGAAAGCUUGCUGAGAGCUGAAUGUUUGCACCUAUGACGCUUGGUCUCCAUUGUCAACUUGAUUGGAAUCACCUAGGAGAUACAUCUUUGUGAGCAUGUGUAAGGUUUAACUGAACAGGAAAGUUCCACCAGGAACGUAAGUGGCAUCAUCCCUUGCACGGAGCCAUAUUGGAUUUGGGCCUAGCCGCUUUUUGACUGCAUGGUUCAAAGUGACUCUGGGCUGUUUGGCCACAGAGACUCACCCCGAAGAUGACUGCCAUAAAUCUUAAGAUUGUUGGAUAAAGCCUCUCCCAUGAAUUUACGGCACAGGAGUAUAACAUUCAAGGGAUGCCUCAGCUCGAGCAGAUACCAGUUAUCUCCUCAGUCAACACCCAGUGUCUCCACCACCUGACCUCAUCGCCUGACUUCUUUGCCUCCAGCUAUCACUGCCUAUACCCUCAUCUCCCCCUCCUUCAUAUUUCACAAAGGUCACUCCCCCUACCUGAAAGCCUUAAAAGCUGCAAUGUUCAUCCCAAUAAACGAGACCUUGACAACAGAACUUUUGCUUGGUCUCCUUCUUCUCUUCACCCCCAUUUUGGCCCACAGGUAGAAAGCCUCUUCGGGACCCUGAACAACUGGGUCCCCGCUGGCGGGGACAAUCCCUUGGCCUGGAUUGAAUCAAAAAGAAUGAAGAACAUGAUAUGAGCAGAGCUAGCCUUUGCUGUCUGCUUUCUGAUUGAGGGCCCAGCAUAACCAGCUCCUCAGAGGCACACUGCUUGCCCUUCCUGUCACAAUGAACUCUCACAAUGGACCUUCUUAAGCAAUGAGACAAGAGAAUCUUUUUCUCAAGUUCCUUUUGCCCAGUGUUGUGUCAUGGAAAUAAAGGUCAGUAUGUAGUGCCCUACCCUGAGUCACACAUUGAAAUCAUAACUCCAAGGAGAAGUAUUAGGAAGUAAUUAAGUUGUAAGGUAGGAGUUUGCAUGGAUGGGAUUUCUGCUUUUAUUGAAUAUACCCCAGAGAAGACAUCCCUUUUGUCACUGGAGGACACGGGAAAUGAGUCCCCAUCAGAAUCUGAUUCUGGUGGCAUCUGGAGUUAAGAGAAAUAAAUUCCCAUUCUUUAGAACAAUUUUGUUACUACUGCUCUAACAGAUUAAGGCAGGAUGGCAGGAAACAGUCCUUGUUGUCUUCUGGGAGAAAAGUGCAGAUAACUCUGUGAAUCCUUCCAAGUCCAAUUUCACUCAUUAACGGGGAAGAAAAGGAAGAUGAGCAUUGUUGUUCAUGGCCAGCUAUUGCCCAUGUGACAUGUCCUACUGAAAAGCCACAGCUGUUUUGUUUGCUCAGGUCCCCUGGCACUGGGAUCAAGCAUUACCUGUCAUUUGAAAACUUCGGAAUGUUCUUGGUCAUCCUCAUGUGGUAACGGUUACUUCUACCACUAGCAGACCCUUGGAGACCUUCAGGAGUUGCAUUGUCUUUGCCUGGACACACUCUCGCAACCAUUUGCAGAACUUAGGCUCAAGCCUAUUCCAUCUCUAGCUCGAGGCAAUUCAGUGGCCGGGUAAAGGGGCUCCAGAAUUAAUAUUUAUUUCAACAUCACAGAGGCUUACAGUCUGUACAACCAGUAUAUGGAAAAGGAUGGUGCCUGCAAAUUCAUCUUUCUUCAUUCUGAAAUUUCUUAUAAGGAUACAAAGAGAUACAUUAUACUAGGGUUACCGAGAGAGACAGGGGUACCUCUGCCCAGACUCCAGCUUCUCCUGCCCCCUGUUCUCUACUCUUUUCUGUUGUUGAGUAUUGGAGGUUGACAAUCUCUGAUUAGUUACAAAUAGUUUUCAAUUUACUAAAGUGCACUGGCUCUCUUGGCCUCUCUUUGAAAUGCUUUUAAAGCAACAUGGCGAAUGGAAUUCAACAAUUUCCCACAGCUGCAGUAAGAAUAUAGAGACGUGGGAGCAGCUGUUUUCAUAUUUUAUACUCACUAUUUCCUUGGAUCCCUUUUAGGAAGAAUCUAGAAGGUCCUGUGAUAUCCAUAUUACUAUGUUUGUGUCAGCCCCUUGGAUUCCAGGCUUUUAUCCAAAUUUGGCAAAUAUUUGUCUUUACUUACAUGCUGUCUUAGACUUCCGUUCACAUGGUCUCACGCCCCGUGCCAUGUGCCCGUAAGUAGAAGCCCCUGUCCCAUGACAGCUUUCUGUAGUGAAGGGACACCUCUCUGGAGCUGACAUCACAUGGAACUUUUUUUUAAAAAAAUGCUUUUAUUGCAUUUGUUUAUUUAAUGUAUGGUGGGAAGUACAUGCCAUGGUGUGCAUAUGGAGGUCAGAAGAUAAUUUGUGGGGGACUGUUCUCUCCUCCUAUGUGUGUUGCAGUGACGGAGUUUGGAUUGCCAGGCUAGUGGUUUGCUGCAGUCUGAAUGAGCAUGGUGGUUUCCACAGAGAGCUUUUACCAGCUCCAUAGUGUCAUCUCAAUGUGUUUUUCCUUCUGAUGGAAAAUGGCAGUCUGUACAAUAAAGAGGUUUCACAGAAGAUCUUGGAAAGUCCCCUCUUAAUGGAGUUGGCAAAAUCAGGGUCCUACUAGACUGAUUCCAGAGGACAGUCUAGUGUGCAGGGUGAGUAACUUUCAUUGAGACUUCUAUGGAUGAUAAAGAACUGUAUUUGUAAAACAAGUCAAGAAAUCACCUGCCCUGAAUCUCCACAUUACUCUUUCCUCUUCAUGUAGACAUUAGUGAUAUGUUAUAAAAAGAAGCAAAGGCCCCAAGAGGAGGAAUAGACAAUGCUAUUUGUUGUUUCAACAGGGGACCUCACUGAGGAGUUUCGAGCUUGUAAAGUAGUUCAAAGGCAAUCCCCAACGCUACCCCAAGAGAGUCCCCUUCUCUCUCUCUCUCUCUCUCUCUCUCUCUCUCUCUCUCUCUCUCUCUCUCUCUCUCUCUCUCUUUCCCCUUUCCCCUUUCUUUAUUCCCUAUCUCCUCUCUCCCUAAUUUUAAAAACUGAUUUGACCAAAUGAAAAUUAGCAUAUAUCCAUCACAGAAAAGGAAGGAUUUCAUUAAGCAUUUUCAUUCAACUAGAACAUACACUUACACCAAAUCCAUCCUUCAUUAUCCUGUCUUGUCCCGUCUCCCUCUGACUGCCUUUUCCCAAGCAACUCCACUGUACUGCCUCUAAUAAAUAUAUAUGCAUAAGAUGUAGAUUCCACAUGCCAUAGAAAAGUUAUUUGUCUUUUCAACUCUGGAUGAUUUGGCUUAAUAUUUGUGGUGGUCAGUGUUAAUUAUCAGUUUAACAGAUUCUACAGUUCCAGCAGAUGGUCUUCCCAGCCUCCCCAUGGGAGCUGAGCAGCACAAUGCACCCACCCAGUCUCUCUUCUGAUUGUGGAUCUGAUACGACAAGCUACUUCAAGCUGCUGCCUCUAUUGCCCUGGUUUUAUGGACAAUAUCUUGAACUGUGAGCUAAAAUAAACACUCUCUCCCUUAAGUGGCUUUUGUCAGAAUAGCAAGUCACAGCAAAAGGAGCUAAGACAGAAUUAUGAUCUCUAGUCCUGAGCAUUUUCCUAAGAAAUCUUUAGAAAACUCUCAGGUGUGGACACAGAUACUGUACCACAGAACACAUAGAGCUAUAAGGACAGCAGGGGUUGGACAUUUCAUCCAAGAGAGUCAGUGAGUGGCAUGCCCCUGGUAAGCCUGUUCCUGGAGUAAGUGUCACAUCAAACUUGCUUAUUUCCUUUGCUGCAAUAAUCAAAGUCUCCAUAACACCAAUCAAAACUCCAAAGUCACUUCUGAGACUCAAGACAAACACUUAGGUGCAAGCACACCCCUGUAAAGAGUUUCAUGACUCUACAAUGGCACAGAAUAAUACCUCCUUCCUUUUGGAAAAUAGCUGUUUGCUCUGAAUUAAAUCAUCCCCUCUUAGAAGGAAUCUUUGAAGGCACUAGGUCUUUGCCCAAAGUUAGAAAAGCAGUACAGUUACCAAGGAGAAAAGACUUUUGACCUGACAGCCUACAAGUUCUCCAGGAAGCAUUUAAAGCCAUAGCCAGACUGGGGUAGACCUUUUGGGAGUUCCAGUCACCUUUUGGUCAUCUACACUUCUACAUGUAAGCCUCCUCCCAUACUGUUGUAACACAGUACUCGUUAGCUCACCAAGCUAGGUGUGUGAUGGGAUUGUUUCUUUGUUUUGUCUUUGGUUCCCUGUCUGGGAUAACCAGACAUUUCUUCACAUCUCUCCAGGUCAUUCCAGAAAGAAUGAGAAACUAACCAUGGAAAAUUGGAGCAAAGUAGAGCUGGAAUCCAGAAGGCCCAACACUGAAUUGUCUAGCUUCAUGCCUACCACUCAUGGCUUCUGGUGGUGCCAUUUGGGUCCCAAUAGCCUUACAUAGCCUCACCUUACAUUCUCAUACUUAAAGACACAAUGAGCCUCGUCACCACUAUGGUUCUCAUACAAUGGCUUUUUCUUGGACCAGUUCCACAUAGUACCUGGCACAUUCCUCAGUUGAUAUCACAAAGUCCUGAUGACUUCUGAGAUCCUGGGAUUGCCUUUAAAUGUGGGCUUCACCAUCACAGAUUCACAGAAUGCCCUCUCAGAGGCUCUGUGCAGUGCCUUCUUGUUCCACAUGACCUGGUUUUGAGGGAUAUAGGCCAGUUCUGCUUCUAGUCCAUUUCUCAGUUUGAUGAUCUGCCAAGAUGUAACAAGGCAUGUUGUAAUGAUCCCUGCCACAGACUGAACCCAGCCACCAUGUCGUCUUGGCCAUUAUAGGCCUAUCUCUGUAAACCUUGAGUAAAAAUUAUUAUCUCAUCUUUUAAAUUGCCUCUGUCAGGUGUUUGACCACAGUGAUAAAAAAUUAAAGCCACCAAAAGAGAACACUGGUAACAAGAGUGGAGCUAUGUGGUUCCUAUAGGCCUUUGGAAAUGGCUUGCAGGAGGAACGUGGGAGGAAUCUUCAGAGGCACUGGAGUUCUAUCAGAAGAAUUUAAUGGGGCAUUGUAGUUUGGAGCUCAGAAUGCCAAUGGGAAUGUGGAUAGUGAAGACCUGACACUUAAAGUUUCAACGUAGAGUGGAGUAAAUGCAUUUUGCAUCGUGAGGCAACUAUGAGCCAAUGGGGGUCACCGGCACUAUGCUAGCAUUUGUAUGUGAGAUUUCCCCCGAUGUCUCAUGUGUUUGGGUACACUGUCUGCAGUUGCUGACACAGUUUGGGGAGCUUGGGGUAUGUUUUGGGCAUGGUGUCUAGUUGGAACACAUCUACUUGGUUAAUGAUGUCUCAUGACAUGAGAUCAAGCCAUCUGGUUAUCCCAUGUACUGUUUCAUUCUUGAUGAUUGCAGAGUGCCUAACAUGUGGUCAGGCUUUAGUAAGUGUGUUUAUUGAGUACACAAUGCUUCUAUCUCCACAGUUUGUUUAGGGUUUUCAUUGAGGAGGUUGCUGUAUGGAACAUUCCUUGUUGUUCAUCAAGGACUUAGGGAACAGAGUAGAGGCCUGCCUUUCUAAGGUGACUGAACUUCCCUCGGAGCCAUAAUGGGUGUCCUUUUGCAAACUUUGAAAUCCAGACUUAUGCUAAAAGCAUUUUAAACCUAUGUUACUAAAAAUUCACAUAGCUUUUUUAUUGAUCAAUUGAUUAAAAUCUAAUGGGCCCAUAAGAAAGUUGGGACAAAAGCCAUGAGCAAAGUAUGAUUUCAGGGCUGGACUGAUGGCGUAGCCUUUGAAAGCUAAGGGCCACAAGCAGAAGGAAUGCUUUCAGGUAGGAAGAGCUCUGCCCUGUGAAUACUUAUUUUAUAUUUUGCUGUUUAUUUUGUUGCUAGGUUUUAUUAGGGUAGUGGUGUCUUCUCAAUAGGCUACUGUUUGUAAGACGAUGAGCGCUGACUUUCGCAGCUCCAAAUGCAGGAGGUUUAAGUGAAAGACAGGGAUAGGGUUUAUUAAAAUGGUUUGCCUCCUGAUGUAGAGGUGAACCUGGGGUGAAUCAGAGUGAGUGCAGGGAGAUAUUUUGUUGAUACCAAUGCCAUUUAUCCCUACAGAUUUUUAAAGGUCUGAGGAUAAAGUGUCUCCUAUGUGUGGGAUGAUGUCAUUACGCAGGUGAAGGUACAAGAUAGAACAAGACCUGUUAUUGGAUGAGAAGGAAGGAUGGGUGGGAGAAAAGUUUGAGGGAAGAGGAGGAGACUGGAACAGAGAGAAACUGGAGGAAGAAGCAGCCGAGAGAUCAUGGAGGCAGAUGUUAAGAUUCCACUCUGUACCCUUUACAGGUUGCUAUGAAUGUCCUUAAAGGAUGGAUGUGUACAGAGCUUUGUAUGUUUAGGUGGACAAUUAUAUCUUAUCAAAUUGGAUCAGAGGUUAUUGUGUUGUGCCUUCUUCCAUGUAGCAAUUUGAGUUUAAGAGAGUGUGUGGCGGCAGAGACACUGGGCUGCCAUGAUGCAGGGCCUAGUGGGGCUAAAAGACAGUUUUAUUUUAUAUAAUUUUACAACAACACCUAUAUAGAAUGAAAUGGACAAACAGGAAACACAUAGACGGCCAGAGACAGGAAUCCAGGAGGUCUGGGCUGAUUCUACAGGAGCUGAAUGCUUUUCAGAUACCAUUAUGUCCUUGGAAUUGUCACAGAGACAGACAACUGGAAUUCAAUGCAACUAUUUUACACAGAAGGAGACUGAGGUGUGGAGGUGCCCUUAGGUCAGCUAAAAGUUCCUCAAAGAUGGGGAAGGAGCAAGGCUUUAUAUUGCUUGACCAAGUGCUUUAGUUCAAAGUCCCAUGCCUCACAUUUCUACCUAGUGAAUGCAGAAAAAAAAGCCUGCAAUAGAAGGCACUUGAAGAAGGGGCUUCAUAGGCUGCCCGAGGCCAGCUUCCUUCCAGCACAGAGCUUUGUGUAGUACCUGCAUGUGUGUGGAGUUCUACCAGAACUCUCCGUGUGUUUGCUCACAGUUGGUAGAACCCAAGGGGUGGGAAUACUGAGUCCCUGUGAUGGGAAUAAUUGGAAUGUGCCCCGAGAGUAAAUCCUCCUCCUCAAGGUCAUGAGGAGGACUCUCAUUUGAUUUGUGUGCUCAAGGAACCUUGGCCCUCUCUGUAUACCAUGACCUUCCUGAAUACCUAUCUUGACAACUGCAUAGAUCUGAUACUCCUGGAGUCAUUCCUAAACAGAGAUGAUGGGUGAUGGCUUGUUAUCUACUUAUCUUUCUGGAGAAACCAGUAAGAGACAGUGUGAACAUAUCAAAGUGAAUAGAAGGAGGUGUCCUAAAGCACAGAGAGGGAAGAGCUUGUCUUCCUGAUGUCUUGUGAUCCUUGCUUUCUCUACCAUGGUCUGACAUGCUUGGGGAGGGCAUGAUGGGGGAAGGCUGGUGCUUUUCACAACCUGGUUGUGUGCAGCAUCCACAGCUCAAAAUAAGCAACUGACACCUACCAUUGCUCAGCCACAAUGCAGCCAAGUACCUAGAAAAUUCUGUUCCCUCAAAAGAAUUCUCUCAUUUAUCUGCUUUUCAUUCAUAUGCUGAGGAAGGAGGCUACACGCUACUUCUUGCAGUGGGUGUCAGAAAUAAAAGCAUUCCAGAAUUUUGCUGCUGUGUCUCCAGAGGGAUGGGUGCCACAGAAGAACUCAAGGAGCAUAAGCCAGUGACUUUUCCAUGAAAUAAUUUUGUGGUUUUUUUUUCUUUAAUUUACUGUACCAGAAUAUCACAAGAACAUGUUCGGGUUUUCCAAAUAAAAUCUCAAAUUCUCCUGUGGACGCCUCUUGCAUUUUCAGUCCAUUGGGCAGGGGUAAAAUUUUGUUUCAUAUUCUAUAGGAAGUUUAAGAUACAGUGUACAAGCGAGGUGCAGUGGGCCACACUCUCACCAACCUAAAAUAUUGCCAGGGUUUUUAUUGAGGGAGAGGAUAGAGAUAUUUUAUGGUGGUUUUAAUUUGCACAUCUCUACUGACUCAUGACAUUAAACAUCUCCUGGCAAUGCUCACUGACCUCUUGCCCAGUUCUUGCUUCAAAUGUUUUAUUCUCUUAGAGAAAUAAAGUUGAGGGGGGUUGGCGCAAUGGUUCAGCGGUCAGGAACACUGGCUGCUUUUCCAGAGGACCCAAGUUCAAUUUGCAGCACCCACUCGGUAGUGGGAUCUGAUGCCCUCUUCUGUUUGAUGCUUUCUUCUGUCAUGCGGUAGUCAUACAUGUAAAUAGAGUGCUGGUAUACAUAAAUGAAUCUUUAAAAGAAAAAUAAAGUUGUAAAUAGAGUUGCUGUCUUCUUAUUGAAUUGUUCUAAGAUGUCUAGAGAAAAGUCUUUCAUGAGAUGCUUAUUUUAAAAGAUUUACCCUUCUAUUUGUGUUUUUUUCCUAAACAAAAUAUGUCGAAGGUCAGAUAUUUCAAUUUGAUGUACUUUAAUUUAUUGCAAUUUAUAUUAUGCUUUGUGUUGUAUGUGUCUUAGUUUUUAAACCUUUGCUUAAGUCAAGGUCACUUUUUUUUUCUUACUGCCCCGGGGAACUUUUAUAGCUUUACUGAGUUUUUGUAUGGGCAAGCAGGUGCAUACCUUAAUUUUUCUAAACAAAUAUCCAGCUUUUCUGAUACCAAUUGUUGAAAAGAAGUAUACAUCUCUCCACAUAUAAAGACAAUAUCUUUGUGUCUUAGUUACUUUUCUAUUCCUUUGAUAAGACACCAUGACCAAGGAAACUUAUAGAAGUUUCAGAGAACUAGGGUUCUUGAGAGUGGAGCGGAAGUAUCAGGUUUCAGAUGCAGCUGAGAGCUCACAGUUUGAAGCUCCUUCUCAGCAGGAGACAGAGAGCAUCUUGAAUACCAGAAGUCUUUUUGAAGCCUUUACAUCUCACCCCCAGUGGCACACCUCCUCCAGUAAAGGCACACCUCCUAAUAUUUCCUGAAUAGUUCCACUAACUGGAGACCAAGUAUUCAAACAUAUGGGAGCCAUUCUAAUUGAAAUCACAUGUUGAGUAGGUCUUAUUUUAGGCUCCAUUCAUGUAUAUGUUUAUCAUUAUGUGGUAGUCGGUCAUUAUAACACUACAGUGAAUUUCGAACCAUGUACCAAAUGCUUUCUAAAUGCUUUUUUUGAAUUCCUGAUCAUUUAUCAGCCUACUGGUUCCUAUAAGAAGACAGCUGUGGUUUUAAUUAGUAUUCCAUUAAUACGUAAAACAACACGGAAAAAAUGGCAUAUUGACACUUCAUAGUUUUUCAUCUGUGAACAUUGCCUAGACCUUUAAUUUCUUUUGGGAAUACCGUACAGGUUUUCAGAUGUAAGAAUCCUACUCCCAUCUUUGGAAAAAUCUGUAAAUACAUUAUAUAUCUGUAUGUACAUUAUGUAUUUAUCUAAUUGUAUCUAUAUCUACAUACAUGUACAUGUUCAUGAGUGCAAAUGUGUGCAUGUGCGCUAAAGGAUAAGAAUUAUAAGGUUUCUUCCUCAACUACUGCCCUUUCUUAUUUUUAUUUAAAGAAUUAUUAAAAUAGUUUAUUAAAAUUAGUUUUUUACAUCCUAAUCCUCUGAAAUUUUCAUCUUAAAUGAAAAAAGGGAGUGUUCAGAUCUAAUUGAGAGAAAUUUUGUAAAAUUAAAAUUUGAAUUAAAAAGUUUGCUUUUAAGCAAAUAGGUUUUCAUCUGAAGUUUAUUUCCAUUUGUAGUUGAAUUUGGUUACUUCUCCCCCCCUUCCCCUUGUCUCUCUGCUCUCCCCUCCCCUUGUCUCUCUGCUCUCCCCUCCCCACUGGACACCUCAUCUAUGGUAUUCCCCUUUUCCAUUUUAAUCUAUUUUUUUUAUCUGUUCCAUUUUUAAAAUUGUCUCUGUAGAUCUAAAUUUCAAUGAGAUACCAUUUUGUAUUCACUUUUUUGGUCACAUUUUGUGUAAUACAUGUCUUUUGACAAAGAAUAAUUUAAGCUUUUAUUAAAACAUUCUUGUCUUCAGAUUUGAAAGAUGAGGAUGCUUGGUAUUGAAGUCUAGGUUGACAGCUUUUUUUUUUUUUUUUUUUGUAGUGUUUUAAAGAUGUCAAUGAAGACAAUGGAGGUCUCCUAGCAUGCGUGUCUUCUGAGGGGUCUGUGAGAAUUCUCUUCUUUUUCCAUCUGUCUAUAAGUUCUUUGAACAUUUCACACAAUUUAUUUCGAUCAUAGUCACUUUCCCCAACUCUUCAUAGACAUUCUUAUCUGUCUCCCUAUGAAUCCAAAGUGUCCGUGGCUUUCUGUGUCUCUUCUGCUUGAGGAUUGUUUGUUCUCUGUCAUCCUGGUUCAUCUUCGUCAUAUGGAAAUUAUGAAUGCACUUCAAUAUUUUUUAUUGACUAUCUUCUACAAGAGAAAUAGACAGGGUUCUCUGAAGAGGUGGUGGACACAGUUUUCUGACUUUGAUCUCUACUUUGACACAUGGAAAUUUGUUAUGCCUGGUCCCAGAUUUUUCUAACUUUUUGCGUUAGCUCUGUGAUCUGCUCACAGGAAGUGGUCUAUCUGUAUGUGGCUUACAGAAUAGUGACCAAGGAUGUACUUCCGCUGCCCAGAGAUAGUUAUAUAUGGGUUAGGAUCAGUUCUCUUGGGUGUACAGGGGCUUUGGGAAAGUCUGUUUGCAAGUUUUGGAGGAAAACAACAAUUCUUAGGCCUGUCUAACUAUAGGUACAUCCUGGAAAAAUUCUUUUCAGAGGAAAACAUGGGCAGAGAAGUUCACUCUUUCUUCUGUUUCAUGUAUAUCAUACAAGAUUUAUGGAUUUAUAGUUUUCACAAAUUUGAACUCAUUUUUGUUCCUCUCCUCUUGCCUCAAUUCUUCAUUUUUUUCUUUUAGCUCCAAUCAAACAGAUAUGAAACUAGUUGCCAUUUUUCCCAAACUUACUGACCUCUGCUUUUCCUGCUUAAAGUUUUCAAUAUUUUUUUGGAAGUUAACUCAAGAUAGUUUUUGUUACUGUCUCUUCAAGUGAGUUAUUUCAUUUUGGAUAUAGACUCUUGUUCAGUGCAAUCUUUAUCAUCUGUGUAUCGGACUGUCAUCUGUCUGUCUACCUGUCUAAUCUUUAGAAGUUUGUUUUGAAAAAUAUUUUCCAUUUUUAAUCUCUUGUUUGUUUCCUUUUUUAUGAUUUAAUAAAUCAAAUGUGCGUGUGUGUGUCUGUGUAUACGUGUGUGUGCAUGCACACACAUGGCUGUUUGUGAGACAGUAUCUGUCCAUGAACUUGGGUCUCUUGGAUACCCUGGACACCAGCAAGAUUCAGUGAUUCUCUUGUCUCCCCCCUCCUUGAAAUAGGGGCUAUGACAUUUACAGGAGUGCUUGGCUCAUGCAUGAAUGCUGGAGUCUGCUUGACUCCUACAUGGAUGCUGGGGUCUCCUUGGCUCAUACAUGGAUACUGGGGUCUGAAUUCUGGUUCUCGUGCCUGGCAAGCAAGCAGUGUCAACUGCUGACCUUCCCCUAGAGUAUCAUUCUAACAACGAUAGAAAGUUUUGUUAUAUAUUUCUGCCUCUGAAGUGAGAGUGUUCUAAGUAUUGAGUUUAGCUUUUUAGCAUCCAUUGCUUGUGUUCACUAUAUUAAUUUGCUUGCAAAUAAAUCACUUUUUCCAUUUCUAGGCUUACUUUCAGGUUUUACUAUUUACUAUGUCCAGUAGUAAUCUCUUCGCUGUCCAAUCAACUUCACUAUUACCUUGACACCCCAGGAGGACUCUGUAUGAUACUUUUCUAUAUAUAACCCAUAUGGUCCUGUGUGAGCAAGGACAGUCUGCCCGAGCAUUCCUUUAUAAGGUUUCAUUCCUGCAUGUACAAGUUCUUUAUCAAAGCCUCCAGGGUCUUUGAAAUCAUCUGCGAAGUCCUACCUUUUUAUUCUGUAAGUUUUAGCCUCACUGGCCUUCUUAUCUUGAUCCACAUAAGUGGGUGGCCUUUCCACAUAGGUUCUUUAUAUUUGUGGAGAACCCGAGACUCUCCAGGCAGUGAUCUAAGGGGUUUUCAGAGACUGCCCAUUUGUUUCACUUCUGUCCAGGGUUGUUUACUGCACAGUAGAUAGGAUCACAUCGUAUGUUUGUCUGAUUAUUUGCACCUUUUCUAGACUUGGUAUUUCUCAUAGCAGUUAAUCUUUCAUUGGCAAACCUGAUGGUUAAAAAACAUUCAAUAAAGAAAGAAUGAUUGGUGCAUGUAUCCCAAUAGAGGAAAUGUAAGUUCAGUGCAAAUAAGUUGGCCAAAUGCUCCACUCUUGGCAUUUCUAUUUUCAUACCUGCAUCAUUCCUUUCUAGAAAUAGGUUCUAUUAUUCACUUAAUUAUUUUUUGCAAGCACAUACAUAUAAAUGCAUACACAUAUGGACACACACCUGCACACCCAUAGAACCAUACCAUAUACUUGUACUGAGAGUGAUAGACUUUGGAGCACCCAUUCCUACAUGUUAUGUCUUCAUUAAACAUCUCUUUUCAGGGCUCAGGGACCUUUGUGGAACAGGAGGCAUAAAGAUUGUAAGAAUCAGAGGUGAUGGAUGACCCCAAGGAAAACUUGUCUUAAAGAUACAACAGGACUGACACACACACAAAGUUACAGAGGAUGUGGCAACACGCACAGUGCCUUCACAUCAAGCCAGAGGCAGUCUCAGCACUGAGAAGGGGAAAUGGACUCAGUCUCCUAUUCCCAACCAAGAAGCAAUUUCCAAUGACAAUCAAUUGAAGGAAAAAUUUAGUUUCUUCAUUGGGGUUUCCCUGGGUACACAAACCUCACUUAAGGGCAGGCCCUAUGUGCAGCAGUAGAUGGCUAACACAGAAUGAGCUUAAUGGUAGCUUUGUUUCACAUUGUUUUGUGACAGGACUGGAGAGAUGGCUUAAUAGUGAAAAACACUGUCCACCCUCCCUGAAGACCUGGCUUCUUUCUGUCUAGCUUUCUGUCUUUCUUUCUUUCUUUCUUUCUUUCUUUCUUUCUUUCUUUCUUUCUUUCUGUCUUUCUUUCUUUCUUUCUGUCUUUCUGUCUGUCUGUCUGUCUGUCUGUCUUUCUUUCUUUCUUUCUUUCUUUCUUUCUUUCUUUCUUUCUUUCUUUCUUUCUUUCUUUCUGCCUGUCUGUCUCUCUCUCCUUCCUUCCUUCCUUCCUUCCUUUCCUUCCGUCCUCCUUCCCUUCCCUUCCCUUCCCUUCCCUUCCCUUCCCUUCCCUUUCUUUUCCAGUUUUGUGUUUUUCUGGGCUUUGUGUGUGUAUUGGCGUGUUUCUUGUGCUUUUUUACAGUCUUACUUUUAUUAUGCACCUGUUUUUUAAAGAAAGAAAAAGAAGGCCUGGAGUUGGAUGGAUGAAGAGUGCAAAAGGUCAGAAGAGUGUAUCAGUCCCUUGGAACUGGAGUUACAGACAGUUGUGAGCUGCCAGGUACAUGAUGUGAAUUGAACCCAGGUCUUCUGGAAGACGAGCCAUUGCUCUUUUCUGGUCAUCUGAGAGGAACAGCCAAGGUGGAAGAAAAGGUCUGGCAGGCUGCACUCUUCUGGCUUGGCAUUCAUAUUGGAAGGUGCCUUUGGAAGUCUUCAUCUCUAUCUCAUCAUGGCGGUUCCAAUCUUUCCGCUGGACUGGGGACACAAAGUCUGGAACACAAAGAGAUGUUGUAGAAGGUUGGGGUGCAUUCUUGAUACCUCAAAUCUCUCCAAAGCCUGCAGUUAACUGAACCACACACUACUGUACCUCCUGGAGUGUUUGUUGGGCUAAAUCUGCCUACCGUGGGUUCCCUGACAUGUGCUGGCAGAGUAACUAGAAGCCUUCAAAAUAUCAGCACGUGUUCGCUGAUUUUGUUCUUGUAAAAGGAGUUUGGGAAUCAGAGCGACGAUUUAGAGUUGUGGAAAGGGAGCAGACCAAUCAGUAAGUAAUAAAAACAAAUGACAGAGAGGUUGGUA